RNAcentral lists this non-coding RNA (27 nucleotides) under Homo sapiens (human). Lineage: Eukaryota; Metazoa; Chordata; Mammalia; Primates; Hominidae. The record is from RNAcentral.
UAAAGACGGAUGCCAGGAGAGAGACCC